This 749-nucleotide ribosomal RNA is filed under the name Neoechinorhynchus sp. JDC-2005. Its description in RNAcentral is "bacterial SSU rRNA". It matches the Rfam family "Eukaryotic small subunit ribosomal RNA", at positions 1033 to 1788 of the family's 1831-position model. The record is from RNAcentral. Lineage: Eukaryota; Metazoa; Acanthocephala; Eoacanthocephala; Neoechinorhynchida; Neoechinorhynchidae.
UAAACUAUGCCAACUGGGCAUCUGGCGUUUGCAAUUAAGCAUCGCCAGGCACCCCGCGGGAAACCAAAGUUAUUGGGUUCCGGGGGGAGUAUGGUUGCAAAAUCGAAACUUAAAGGAAUUGACGGAGGGGCACACCAGAAGUGGAGCCUGCGGCUCAAUUUGACUCAACGCACGAAAACUUACUCGGUCCGAACACCGUGAGGAUUGACAGGUUGAUAGCUCUUUCUUGAUUCGGUGGGUGGUGGUGCAUGGCCGUUCGUAGUUGGUGGAGUGAUUUGUCUGGUUUAUUCCGAUAACGAACGAGACUCUAGCCUAUUAAUUAGUGAAGCGUGCAAACCUUCAAAUAUUGUUGAAUGGUGACGCCGCUAAAACACUUCUUAGAGGGACAAGUGUCGUGAGGCACUCGAAGUUGAGCAAUAACAGGUCUGUGAUGCCCUUAGAUGUUCGGGGCUGCACGCGCGCUACAAUGGAGGCUGCAAAGCGCUUUCCUGUUUCGAAAGAAAUGGGGAAUCAAAAAUAGCCUUCACGAUUGGGAUCGGAGAUUGUAAUUAUUCUUCGUGAAAGAGGAAUUCCUAGUAAACGCGAAUCAUUAUUUCGCGUUGACUAAGUCCCUGCCCUUUGUACACACCGCCCGUCGCUACUACCGAUCGAAUGGUUUAGUGAGGUCUUCGGAUGGGUUGCAUGGAGCCACAAGCUUCACUGCAUGCUUCAAAAGUUGACCGAACUUAACCAUUUAGAGGAAGUAAAAG